This 253-nucleotide ribosomal RNA is filed under the name uncultured bacterium. RNAcentral's name for it is "partial 16S ribosomal RNA". It matches the Rfam family "Bacterial small subunit ribosomal RNA", at positions 524 to 776 of the family's 1533-position model. The record is from RNAcentral.
UACAGAGGUGGCAAGCGUUGUUCGGAUUCAUUGGGCGUAAAGGGUGCGUAGGCGGCGCGGUAAGUCGGGUGUGAAAUCUCGGAGCUUAACUCCGAGACUGCAUUCGAUACUGCCGUGCUUGAGGACUGGAGAGGAGACUGGAAUUUACGGUGUAGCGGUGAAAUGCGUAGAUAUCGUAAGGAAGACCAGUGGCGAAGGCGGGUCUCUGGACAGUUCCUGACGCUGAGGCACGAAGGUCAGGGGAGCAAACGGG